RNAcentral lists this ribosomal RNA (301 nucleotides) under uncultured bacterium. RNAcentral's name for it is "partial 16S ribosomal RNA". It matches the Rfam family "Bacterial small subunit ribosomal RNA", at positions 509 to 807 of the family's 1533-position model. The record is from RNAcentral.
CAGUAGCCGCGGUAAUACGAAGGGUGCAAGCGUUAAUCGGAAUUACUGGGCGUAAAGCGUGCGUAGGCGGUGAGUUAAGUCUGCUGUGAAAUCCCCGGGCUCAACCUGGGAAUGGCAGUGGACACUGGCUCGCUAGAGUGUGUCAGAGGAUGGUGGAAUUCCCGGUGUAGCGGUGAAAUGCGUAGAGAUCGGGAGGAACAUCAGUGGCGAAGGCGGCCAUCUGGGACAACACUGACGCUGGGGCACGAAAGCGUGGGGAGCAAACAGGAUUAGAUACCCCGGUAGUCCCUGUCUCUUAUAC